Molecule: long non-coding RNA, 815 nt
Organism: Tribolium madens (black flour beetle)
Lineage: Eukaryota; Metazoa; Arthropoda; Insecta; Coleoptera; Tenebrionidae
Exons: 3
Source: RefSeq, a predicted model, not a curated record
GCACAAUACGUGCAUUAUUCAGAACAUUCAAGUAAUAAAAUACAUUUUAAGCCGAAGCUUGUUUUUGGAUGAAACAUCAGUGAAUAACUCCGAUUACCUCCGAUAAAAAAGUGUCGAUCAAGUUAAAAGUUGGACACCAAACCCCAAGUCCAAGAAAUUUGUUCAAAACGUCUAUCGAACUUCUGAUAUGAAAGAUUUGUAAGAAGAAAAGCAUAUUGUUGCUAGAAUCUGUUAAUCACGUUCAUGUGUUUGUGGCAGUUAUCAAUUUACAAAUAAAACUCUUGAAUCCACAUCCAUAGUUUUAAUUAACAAAAUUGUUAUGAAACAUUUCUUGUACAAGAAUAAUGUGCCUCACAGCUUACAACAAACGCAGUUGCCUUAAGGAAACCUUUAGUGGUGCAGAGGUUUAGUUGAUUGACUAAAAAUCGGAAAACUCUCCAAAUGUUCCGUAGAUAUUUGACUUAUACUGGGUAGCAAGAUUGUUUUAUUACCUUUCGGUAAAUUUCAAAGGUUUGUUAAGGACUAAUAGAUAACAAUCACAAAUUUAGUUUUGUGCUUCAGCGAUAGGAGUUUGUGACAUAACGUGUUGGAGUUCUGCAGUUCAUCGAAUCAUUUAAAAGAAAUUUUUGCUACUAUGAAUAAGGUCACAAGCCAGCCUAUCUACGGGGAAGCAAACCCAAAUUAAUCCUUUCUUUGGUUCUAACCAAGAACAAAUCUUGUUGGAUACAAUUUUCACUUUCUACUGACGUUGCCUGCAGAUGCUUCUAUCUGAGUUGAUUAUGUCUGAUAGAUUUGUAAUUACCUUUUAUGAGUAA